RNAcentral lists this ribosomal RNA (264 nucleotides) under uncultured Ascomycota. Its description in RNAcentral is "partial 18S ribosomal RNA". It matches the Rfam family "Eukaryotic small subunit ribosomal RNA", at positions 619 to 888 of the family's 1831-position model. The record is from RNAcentral. Lineage: Eukaryota; Fungi; Ascomycota.
UUAAAAAGCUCGUAGUUGAACCUUGGGCCUAGCCGGCCGGUCCGCCUCACCGCGUGCACUGGCUCGGUUGGGCCUUUCUUUCUGGAGAACCCCAUGUCCUUCACUGGGUGUGGUGGGGAACCAGGACUUUUACCGUGAACAAAUCAGAUCGCUUAAAGAAGGCCUAUGCUCGAAUGUAUUAGCAUGGAAUAAUNGAAUAGGACGUGUGGUUCUAUUUUGUUGGUUUCUAGGACCGCCGUAAUGAUUAAUAGGGACAGUCGGGGG